GGGCGGUUAGCUCAGUGGUAGAGCGCUUGCCUUACAAGCAAGAGGCCAGAGGUUCGAAACCUCUACCGCCCA
RNAcentral lists this transfer RNA (72 nucleotides) under Coprothermobacter proteolyticus DSM 5265. It matches the Rfam family "tRNA". Rfam says of the family: Transfer RNA (tRNA) molecules are approximately 80 nucleotides in length. Their secondary structure includes four short double-helical elements and three loops (D, anti-codon, and T loops). Further hydrogen bonds mediate the characteristic L-shaped molecular structure. tRNAs have two regions of fundamental functional importance: the anti-codon, which is responsible for specific mRNA codon recognition, and the 3' end, to which the tRNAs corresponding amino acid is attached (by aminoacyl-tRNA synthetases). tRNAs cope with the degeneracy of the genetic code in two manners: having more than one tRNA (with a specific anti-codon) for a particular amino acid; and 'wobble' base-pairing, i.e. permitting non-standard base-pairing at the 3rd anti-codon position. The record is from Rfam by way of RNAcentral. Lineage: Bacteria; Pseudomonadati; Coprothermobacterota; Coprothermobacteria; Coprothermobacterales; Coprothermobacteraceae.